Molecule: ribosomal RNA, 649 nt
Filed under: uncultured bacterium
Lineage: Bacteria
Description: bacterial SSU rRNA
Rfam family: Bacterial small subunit ribosomal RNA
Source: RNAcentral
CAGGCCUAACACAUGCAAGUCGAACGAGAUCUUCGGAUCUAGUGGCGCACGGGUGAGUAACGCGUGGAAACCUGCCUAUCUGUACGGAAUAACGUUUGGAAACGAACGCUAAUACCGUAUACGCCCUGUGGGGGAAAGGUCCGCCGCAGAUAGAGGGGUCCGCGUCCGAUUAGCUUGUUGGUGGGGUAAUGGCCUACCAAGGCGACGAUCAGUAGCUGGUCUGAGAGGAUGAUCAGCCACACUGGGACUGAGACACGGCCCAGACUCCUACGGGAGGCAGCAGUGGGGAAUAUUGGACAAUGGAGGAAACUCUGAUCCAGCAAUGCCGCGUGUGUGAUGAAGGCCCUAGGGUUGUAAAGCACUUUCAUUGGUGAAGAUGAUGACGGUAACCAAAGAAGAAGCCCCGGCUAACUUCGUGCCAGCAGCCGCGGUAAUACGAAGGGGGCGAGCGUUGUUCGGAAUUACUGGGCGUAAAGGGAGCGCAGGCGGUUCAAUUAGUUAGGCGUGAAAGCCCCGGGCUCAACCUGGGAACCGCGCUUAAUACUGUUGAGCUAGAAUACAGAAGAGGAUAGUGGAAUUCCCAGUGUAGAGGUGAAAUUCGUAGAUAUUGGGAAGAACACCGGUGGCGAAAGCGGCUAUCUGGUCUGUU